UACGAAGGGAGCUAGCGUUGUUCGGAAUUACUGGGCGUAAAGGGCGCGUAGGCGGUUUGUUAUGUCAGAUGUGAAAGCCCCGGGCUUAACCUGGGAACUGCAUUUGAAACUGGCAGACUAGAGAUCGAGAGAGGAAAGUGGAAUUACAAGUGUAGAGGUGAAAUUCGUAGAUAUUUGUAAGAACACCAGUGGCGAAGGCGACUUUCUGGCUCGAUACUGACGCUAAGGCGCGAAAGCGUGGGGAGCAAACAGG
This 253-nucleotide ribosomal RNA is filed under the name uncultured bacterium. RNAcentral's name for it is "partial 16S ribosomal RNA". It matches the Rfam family "Bacterial small subunit ribosomal RNA", at positions 524 to 776 of the family's 1533-position model. The record is from RNAcentral.